UAGACAAUGUGAUUCCCGACGCUUUGUCU
Molecule: small RNA, 29 nt
Filed under: Bombyx mori (domestic silkworm)
Lineage: Eukaryota; Metazoa; Arthropoda; Insecta; Lepidoptera; Bombycidae
Description: ovarian small RNA-21897
Source: RNAcentral